Molecule: ribosomal RNA, 661 nt
Filed under: uncultured fungus
Lineage: Eukaryota; Fungi
Description: eukaryotic LSU rRNA
Rfam family: Eukaryotic large subunit ribosomal RNA
Source: RNAcentral
CCCGCUGAACUUAAGCAUAUCAAUAAGCGGAGGAAAAGAAACUAACAAGGAUUCCCCUAGUAACUGCGAGUGAGGCGGGAAAAGCUCAAAUUUGAAAUCUGGCAGCUCUUUGAACUGUCCGAGUUGUAAUCUAGAGAAGUGUUACCUGUGCUGGACCGUGUACAAGUCUCCUGGAAUGGAGCGUCACAGAGGGUGAGAAUCCCGUCUUUGACAUGGACUGCCUGCACGUUAUGGUGCGCUCUCAAAGAGUCGAGUUGUUUGGGAAUGCAGCUCAAAAUGGGUGGUAAAUGCCAUCUAAAGCUAAAUAUUGGCGAGAGACCGAUAGCGAACAAGUACCGUGAGGGAAAGAUGAAAAGAACUUUGGAAAGAGAGUUAAACAGUACGUGAAAUUGCUGAAAGGGAAACGCUUGAAGUCAGUCGCGUCUGCUAGAAAUCAACCUCGCUUUUGCUUGGUGUACUUUCUUGUUUGACGGGUCAGCAUCAAUUUUGACCAUUGGAUAAAGUCGUUGGGAAUGUGGCAUCUUAGGAUGUGUUAUAGCCCAUUGUCGCAUACGGUGGUUGGGAUUGAGGAACUCAGCACGCCCGCAAGGGACGGGUUUCGACCACGUUCGUGCUUAGGAUGCUGGCAUAAUGGCUUUAAUCGGCCCGUCUUGAAACACGG